This 1099-nucleotide long non-coding RNA is filed under the name Nicotiana tabacum (common tobacco). Its description in RNAcentral is "long non-coding RNA (NTAB_LNC009895)". The record is from RNAcentral. Lineage: Eukaryota; Viridiplantae; Streptophyta; Magnoliopsida; Solanales; Solanaceae.
GCUGAUGUUUUGCUCCAAUUACACAAAAAAUGAUUCGCUUCCAAUUUUUAAGCGAAUCUACAAGAAAGUGAAGCCAAGUGACUAAAAGAUUGAAAUUUUGGUGACGACAUAUAAUGAAAACACAGUCCAACAUCAUUUUCCCUAUUAAAAUAUGAAGAGAGCAAAAAGUGAAGAUUAUUAUACAGUCAAACCUCUCUAUAACAGCCUAAUUCGUUUCGAAUGUUUUUGGCUACUAUAGUGAAGUGCUGUUAUAGAUGACAUAUAUUAUAACAUAUUAUAAUAUUCGGUUCCGAGAAUAACUCAGGUUUUAUAGUGAAUGACUAUUAUAUAAGGAUGUUGUUAUAGAGAGGUCUGACUGAAUUUGAAGUAGAUAUUAUAGAUCAAAAUUUCUAAAUAUUGUACAAAUGCCUGAUAAACUAACUAUAGAAAGAGUAAAACAUCUCAUUAAUUCAAUCAUUGUUCUGGAUUGACCAUACUGCAAGGUUUAUAAUAUAUAAACCUGACAAAAAAUGUUUUAAGGAAAGCUAAAGCGGGACUACAUAAGAGUUUGAAUAAUAAAUUAUCAGUGAUAAUUAUUAUGCUCCUAUCAAAUUAUUUAACUCUUCCACAGAAAAUUCUAAUUAGCAAAAUGUCAAGCUUUAAUCGAGCAAAAAUGUAUAUUUUUGGUUAUGAGAAAUCCAACUUAAGCCGAUAUACAAAUUGCCAAAACAUAAUAACCGGUGAAAAGGGUGUCGUUUGCGCAGUAUAUAUACCAUGAAACACAUAAAUAGAAAAAGAGUGUACCUUCUCGAAAUCUAUUGAAGGAUCCAUGGUGCAAUCGAAUUGUGCUUUUUCGCUGUUGCUGGUCCUUUUCAUGUUCUCCUUUGCUAUUCAAUGAUGAUUAUGAUGAACGUUAGUAUGCCUUGAAUUUUAAGCAUUAUUCCGUAGGUUCAUCGCUAAUUACAGAUCUUUAAUCGAAAAGAGGGAAGAGAGAUUACUGUUCGAAAUUGCCAUUAUAAUUAAUGAAAGGAAAAAGACACGGUUUGGUUGAAUUUGAUCGGCUGCCAUUAUCAACGAAGGAAGUAGAAACGGUUUGUUUAAGAAGGUUAAUCGGUGGCUU